Molecule: ribosomal RNA, 874 nt
Filed under: Klebsiella ornithinolytica
Lineage: Bacteria; Pseudomonadati; Pseudomonadota; Gammaproteobacteria; Enterobacterales; Enterobacteriaceae
Description: bacterial SSU rRNA
Rfam family: Bacterial small subunit ribosomal RNA
Source: RNAcentral
CUACAGUAGGCAGCAGUGGGGAAUAUUGCACAAUGGGCGCAAGCCUGAUGCAGCCAUGCCGCGUGUAUGAAGAAGGCCUUCGGGUUGUAAAGUACUUUCAGCGAGGAGGAAGGCGAUAAGGUUAAUAACCUUAGCGAUUGACGUUACUCGCAGAAGAAGCACCGGCUAACUCCGUGCCAGCAGCCGCGGUAAUACGGAGGGUGCAAGCGUUAAUCGGAAUUACUGGGCGUAAAGCGCACGCAGGCGGUCUGUUAAGUCAGAUGUGAAAUCCCCGGGCUCAACCUGGGAACUGCAUUUGAAACUGGCAGGCUUGAGUCUUGUAGAGGGGGGUAGAAUUCCAGGUGUAGCGGUGAAAUGCGUAGAGAUCUGGGAGGAAUACCGRUGGCGAAAGGCGGCCCCSUGGACAAAGACUGACGCUCARGUGCRAAAGCGUGGGGAGCAAAACAGGAUUAGAUACCCUGGUAGUYCACGCUGUAAACCGAUGUCGACUUGGAGGUUGUUCCCUUGAGGAGUGGCUUCCGGARCUAAMGCGUUAAGUCGACCGCCUGGGGAGUACGGCCGCAAGGUUAAAACUCAAAUGAAUUGACGGGGGCCCGCACAAGCGGUGGAGCAUGUGGUUUAAUUCGAUGCAACGCGAAGAACCUUACCUACUCUUGACAUCCAGAGAACUUAGCAGAGAUGCUUUGGUGCCUUCGGGAACUCUGAGACAGGUGCUGCAUGGCUGUCGUCAGCUCGUGUUGUGAAAUGUUGGGUUAAGUCCCGCAACGAGCGCAACCCUUAUCCUUUGUUGCCAGCGAUUCGGUCGGGAACUCAAAGGAGACUGCCAGUGAUAAACUGGAGGAAGGUGGGGAUGACGUCAAGUCAUCAUGGCCCU